This 497-nucleotide ribosomal RNA is filed under the name uncultured bacterium. RNAcentral's name for it is "partial 16S ribosomal RNA". It matches the Rfam family "Bacterial small subunit ribosomal RNA", at positions 28 to 507 of the family's 1533-position model. The record is from RNAcentral.
GAUGAACGCUGGCGGCGUGCCUAAUACAUGCAAGUCGAGCGAACAGACGAGGAGCUUGCUCCUCUGACGUUAGCGGCGGACGGGUGAGUAACACGUGGAUAACCUACCUAUAAGACUGGGAUAACUUCGGGAAACCGGAGCUAAUACCGGAUAAUAUAUUGAACCGCAUGGUUCAAUAGUGAAAGACGGUUUUGCUGUCACUUAUAGAUGGAUCCGCGCCGCAUUAGCUAGUUGGUAAGGUAACGGCUUACCAAGGCAACGAUGCGUAGCCGACCUGAGAGGGUGAUCGGCCACACUGGAACUGAGACACGGUCCAGACGCCUACGGGAGGCAGCAGUAGGGAAUCUUCCGCAAUGGGCGAAAGCCUGACGGAGCAACGCCGCGUGAGUGAUGAAGGUCUUCGGAUCGUAAAACUCUGUUAUUAGGGAAGAACAAAUGUGUAAGUAACUAUGCACGUCUUGACGGUACCUACUCAGAAAGCCACGGCUAACUACGUG